GUGAGUUUAGUAUUUAAGUAUACCUUAUUGUGGUUAAGGUGGGUGUCUCGUUCUUAUG
RNAcentral lists this transfer RNA (58 nucleotides) under Echinorhynchus gadi. Its description in RNAcentral is "tRNA-His". Lineage: Eukaryota; Metazoa; Acanthocephala; Palaeacanthocephala; Echinorhynchida; Echinorhynchidae. RNAcentral also lists the same sequence under 1 other name. The record is from RNAcentral.